Molecule: ribosomal RNA, 371 nt
Filed under: uncultured soil bacterium
Lineage: Bacteria
Description: bacterial SSU rRNA
Rfam family: Bacterial small subunit ribosomal RNA
Source: RNAcentral
AGAGUGAACGCUGGCGGUAGGCCUAACACAUGCAAGUCGAACGGCAGCACAGUGGUAGCAAUACCAUGGGUGGCGAGUGGCGGACGGGUGAGGAAUACAUCGGAAUCUACCUUUUCGUGGGGGAUAACGUAGGGAAACUUACGCUAAUACCGCAUACGCCCUUCGGGGGAAAGCCGGGGAUCGCAAGACCUGGCGCGGAUAGAUGAGCCGAUGUCGGAUUAGCUAGUUGGUGAGGUAAUGGCUCACCAAGGCGACGAUCCGUAGCUGGUCUGAGAGGAUGAUCAGCCACACUGGAACUGAGACACGGUCCAGACCUCCUACGGGAGGCAGCAGGUAGGGGAAUAUUAGGACAAGUGGGACGCAAGCCUAGA